UGGGUUUGGCUCCCACGCAAACUUUGACUGACUUUUCGGAGGUCUCUCAUGGCCUUAAACCUCAAAUCUUCAUUGUAACCGCUAGGUUCUGGAACCGUGUCCGGAAUAGCCAUUCGACCUUCAAGCAUGUUCACAACUUCAGACAUGCUAGGUCUAAUUGUAGGAGAUGCAUUUGUGCACAAAAUGGCUACUUUGACCAUAGUUUCUGCUUCUUCUUUGCUGAACUCUGACUUCAAUGUCUCAUCAACAAGCUUCAUCAGAUUUCCACUCUCUUGCAAAUGGCAUGCCCAAUCUAAGAGACAAACGCAAUCGUUGCUAGGCAUAAAGUUAUUGUUGUUCUUCCCGCUGACAAUUUCCAAUGCCACAACUCCAAAACUGUAAACAUCUGCUUUUUCGGUCAAGUAACCCCAUAGUGCAUAUUCUGGUGCCAUAUACCCUAUAGUUCCAGCAAUCCGAGUGCUGAUAUGGCUCUUUU
RNAcentral lists this unclassified non-coding RNA (475 nucleotides) under Hevea brasiliensis (rubber tree). The record is from RNAcentral. Lineage: Eukaryota; Viridiplantae; Streptophyta; Magnoliopsida; Malpighiales; Euphorbiaceae.